GCCGCGGCCGGGAGGGACCGAGCGGGGAGCAAGGCCUGCGGGGAGGCGCAGGAUGGACGCGUUGGCUGUCAUGAUGUAGGACCUCCUGACCUAGAACCAUGCCCGGCGCAGGGAGAACAACGAGCUUACGGACCGGGUGCGGGGGCUGCUGUGCGAGAAAGCCUACCUGCUGGCCCGGGAGCGUUCGCCGGCCCACCUGGUGGCUUUCCCUGGACGUUUAACGGCGACUCCGCCCGGCCUCCCGACUUUUUGAUGCAGGCGUUCUCUUACAUGACUUUCUUCGAGGCUAGAUUCUCGAAAGACAUCCUGAAGGUGGCUUUCUUAAUUAGCUGCCUCACCGGCUGGCGGAGCAGUUCGUAGUCGCCUACAUCGAGAGGGAGAGCCCCGUCCUGGCUCAGUACUGGGGCUUCGUGGACGCGCUGUAGCGGGUCUUCGCCGUCGUGGGUAGGAAACAGUCGGGCCGGAUCCCCGGUGUCUGGGGAGCGGCUGCCGGCCGGGCCCGCGCGAGCCGCUUCACUCCUACAAGCCCGGCUCACUAGUUCCAAGCUGCUGGACUUUGACCCUCGCUGGGAAGCUUGAUCGCCGCCUGUUCUCGCCAAUCUCUAUGCCUUUGCACUGCCCAGCAACCCGGUCACUGCCCAGGACCUGUUAAAAGUUGAAUGGACCUCCCAGAAUCACGCCGCUGCCACCGCCGUUUCUAGAGACGGCUUUUGGCCACCUUUGAGAAUCAGGGUCAAACUUGGAAGGGCCUGCAUUUGUCACACUUCCUCGGACACUAAUUUGGAUAGUUCAGGCCCAGAGACGGCUUCCCGGGUUAGUGUGCCUGACAACACUGAAGAAAAAUUGUGACAUUUUCCUUCCCCAGAAUUACUUCGUUUUAUACAUUUCACUUCUCUUCUGAAAUCACAGCAAUGCCAGUUUGCGCCUUUUGGUCUGAGGAACGCAGGCCCUGGCCACUACCAGGAAAAAGUAUUUACUUUUAAAACUUGAAUGUAUAUCUUUACCGUAUGCCUAGUACAGUAGUGCUUGGAAGAAACAGAUUAGUAAGACAAAAUAUAUGUCUUCAAGAACACUUACGUUCUGAGAAAGAAUUCUGAAUGCAGAUUCUAAUGUCUGGUAAAAUGCUUUACAGUGUAAAGAAUGCAUAUAUGAUUCUUAUUUUAUGGCAUUUUAAACUUUCCACCCCACGGUUUUAAAGUGUUAAUAUAUGUUAAAAAUAUAUGCAAUUUAUAAAGGAGAAGGAAAGCCCAGCUUGAUUUUUGCUGCCAAAGAUGGUAUAUUUAAAAUUAAACGUAACUAAUGGCAAAAAAUAAUGGGAAUGGUGCAGUCUUUGAGCUGUAUCCAGUUGGCAUUAUUCUCUUGGACUAAAAGGAAUAGUAUUAACUUCCUCACUUUGGGUAAGCCACUUUAGAUUUUUGGGCUGCAGUUUUCUCAGGUAAUUAGAGACUUUAUAUUAUGAAAGUUUGGUUCACAAUUCUUUGAGUCUCUUUUGGGAACAAAGAAGGUAAGAGGAGGAUAUGUGCCCUCCUCUCAAUCAAGGGGUUUCUUGAAACCCUCUAAGGAGAAAAAUCUGAAACUGCCUUUCCUAAAACGUUCAUGGGUUUGUCAUUCUGAUGAUCAAUAUCGUCCCACUGAAGUAUCUUUUUGAAUUCCUAGUUAGGAAUCUUUAUGUUAAGAUAAACUGAUCACUCUCUCCUUCGUGGACAGUUUAUCUACCUAAAGAUGAUAGGGGAAAACACUGUUUUUGAAAGACGAAAUAAAGACAUGUUGUAGCAGUUAUUUUAUUGCCAGUUAGUAUUACAAAAGUUCCUAAGGAACUCCCCAUUAACUUGGCCUCAUAUGAACUACGCUUGAGUCCCGUUUUAAAUUGAGUCUUGAUCGUAUUUACUGACAGUUUCAAAGCAGCGUUUUUUUUUUUCCUCCAUAGUAAAAAACCUACAGGAUACCACCACCAAAGGAAAAAACAAGUUUUUUUCAGUAAACCUCACAAGAGCAUACAUUUGAUAGAAUACACGGAUUUUCUAAUGAAAGCUCGCCGUCACCAUUUUAUAAGUCAGAACAUGAAAGUCAAAAUAUCUCAUACAGAUGUCUUUUUUUUUUGAGAAGGUACACAAGGCUUGCUUGUAGAGAUGGAGUUACAUGGAGGGACAGAAGGUCACUGGUCAGUGAUUUUAGGUUUUUAUACUUCUGAAAACAGGUAAUUACAGAUUCUGAUCAGUUUAUCAUUUUCUUUAGUCUUUUAUUUUCUGCUGAAUGCUCUCAAGGGAACGGAUCCAUACCUGUUUAUCAGGCUCACCUGGAAGAGCCAAGUCAUCCACUCAGGUCUUCCUCUGGACCUGCAUAAUUUCCUCAUUUACUAGAUUGGGUUUCUUUUAUGUGUGGGCUUUUAAUGCUUGGUAUCUCUGGUCUUCCUAAUAUGUAAUGCUUAGCAUAAUAAUUUUAGCCAUUAUUCAUUUUUGUAGUAGGCUUCACUAGCUUCCUGCUUCUCAAAUCCCUUGAAAAGAUGAGAUUUUUUUUUCGUGGAGUUCACGUCUAGUAAGUUGGUCUUGAUUUUUUUUUUCUUUCAGAACCUUCUGGAUUUCAGCUUUGGCAAGCUUCCUCUGUUUCUGAGACACCUCCAUCACCUGGGUUACAAUCCCAUCCAUGAUUUUCCCCAUCUCCAGGCAUUUUUCAUGGAAAGCUCCUCAUGCUUUUUAAUUCCAGUUUAUCCAUUUGUGUGGCUUUAACCUCCACAUCCAGGUCUUUCUGGCUAAACUGCAGUAUAUCCACAAUGGGGCCAAUGGACACAUAAGGGAGGCCCUAUCACAGGAACACGAACACCCGGAGUCGCUAGAAAUCAGAUUCCACCGGCUUUGCUUCAGGCCGACUUCCUAAGGAAGGCAUGGUAGCAUCACAGAUGCUGUUUGUCUCAGUUUCCUGAGAAGCCAGUUUCUUAGAGCUGUCAUUCAAGAGUGGGUCAAAUUUGAGAUAUAAAAACCUUUCUCAAGGUAGACUCUUUGGCCCCUAUGCCUAGUAUGUCAGCUGGGCCUCUGAAGCUCUCCUCUUUGAGGUCCUGGCAGGCUCUGGCCCCUGUUGAGAAGGGGAAGCAGUCAUGUGAACUCAUGUGCUGGAAGAAUCCACUCUACCCCUUCCCUGGCUUCUCUGCUGCAAUUUUUGUCUUUAAACGUAUUUUCAGGUGAUUCCAGUUUGCAUACAUAAUUGAGAAAUAUAAGAUUUGGUCCCCAGUAGAGAGCCAGGUGAACUUAAGAAGGAGUCCAUCUAAGAAAAUUGCACAAUUAUCUAGUUUCACUUGGGUUUAGCUUUUAUGGCUUACUUGAUUUAGUAAUCAAAUGAUUUUCAAAUGAUUUUGAUCAGGUGACUCUUCGUAAACUAGAGAAUGAACUUGAGAGCCGAAUUAGCACAGUUUAAAAAUAAUCAUUUAGUUUUUGUUCUCUAUUGUGUAAAUUAUUGAGGUUUGACUGUCUUGGCUAAACUAAGGCUCAUCUAAUAUCUUUAUUUUUGAUAUCCUAAUUUCUUGCCAAUUAAUUGAAGGUAACAUACUAGCAGACCAGAUAACUACUUAUGCAAACCUCAGAUAACCACUAAUUUAAACAAAAUUAAAUCCUUUGCCUUCCCCAGAUCCUUUGCACAUGGCCUGCUAUCAACAAUCCUCUACAAUGAUUCUCAGCAUCACCUAGGGAGCUUAUGUAAAAUCUCAAAUUCCUGGGCCCUAUCCCCAGAGUUUCUUAUCAAUUUCCUUGAUGGAGAACUAUCAAAGCAGUCAAAGCUAUCAAAAUAAAAAAGAAUUCUGAUUGGGUGCAGUGGCUCACACCUGUCAUUCCAGCACUUUGAGAGGCCAAGGUGGGCAGAUCACAUGAGGCCAGGAGUUCAAGACCAGCCUGGCCAACAUGGCAGAAACCCCAUCUCUACUAAAAAUACCAAAAUUAGCCGGGCAUGGUGGAACACACCUGCAAUCCCAGCUACUCGGGAGGCUGAGGCAAGAGAAUCGCUUGAACCUGGGAGGCAGAAGUUGCAGUGAAACAAGUUGGUGCCAAUGCAUUCCAGCCUGGAUGAUGGAGCGAGACUCUGUCUCAAGAAAAAAAAAACAAAAACAAAAACAGAACUCUGCCUCAUAGCGUCUUUUAAGUUAUACACUGGACCUAUCCUUUCCUCACUGACAGACAUUUUAAAAAUUUUUUGGUAAGGCCUAGUUCAUAUAAAAUGUAAUCCAAGCCAAAAGUUAACAAGAAUAAGGGGAGGAAAGGGGACUCCAAUAGCAGAGAAAGGUAUUUACCUGGGAUAUACACUGCAAGAAAAUCAAAGCUAUAAGAAACGUCCAUGAAUAGUAGCCAUAAGGCAUCAGAGUGAUAAAAUUCCUGUCCCUAGGAGGGAAUAUUGGAGUUUGCCAGAGAAACAGAAUGAGAGAGACAGAGAGGUUUAUUGUAGGAAUUGGCUCAUAUGAUUACGGAGGCUGAGAAGACCCACGAUCUGCCAUCUGCAAGCUGGAGAAUCAGGAAAGCUGGAGGUGUAAUUCAGUCAAGUCCAAUGGCCAGAGAAGCAAGUGUACUGAUAUCCAAGAGCAGGAGAAAAUAGAUGUCCCAGAACAAGCAGAGAGGCUGAUUUUGUCCUUCCUCUGCCUUUUUGUUUCAUAUGGGGCACUGAAUGGACUGAUGCCCAUCCACAUUAGUGAGGGUGGAUCUUCUUUACUCAGUCUACCAGUAGAAAUGUCAAUGACUUCCAGAAACACCCUCACCAACACACGUGGAAAUAAUGUUUUACCAGGUAUCUGGGCAUCCCUUGGUUCACUCAAGUUGACACAAAAUUAACCAUCACAGAAGGAGACUGGCCUUACUCUGAAAUUAGGAAACUAAAGAAGUGACCAGAAUGGAGACUAGGUAGAGACAACUAGUUCUCUACCAAACAUGUACAGUUAUUCGUUGGUAUCUGAAGGGGAUUGGUUCCAGGAACUCUCAGGGAUACCAAAAUCU
This is a long non-coding RNA of Homo sapiens (human), 4967 nucleotides long. Ensembl annotates it as long intergenic non-protein coding RNA 667. The record is from Ensembl. NCBI's taxonomy places the organism in Eukaryota, Metazoa, Chordata, Mammalia, Primates, Hominidae.